AACGAACGCUGGCGGCAGGCCUAACACAUGCAAGUCGAGCGCGCCCUUCGUGGUAACCGGCUGACGGGUGAGUCACGCGUGGGAACGUGCCCUUUUCUACCGAAUAGUACCUUGAAACUGAGAGUAAUAUCGUAUACGCUCUUCUGGUGACAGAUUUAACGUACAAGGAUCGGCCCGCGUUGGAUUAGGUUGUGGGUGUGGUAAUGGCCUAUCAAGCCGACGAUCCAUAGCUGGGUUGAGAGGAUGAGCAGCCACACUGGGACUGAGAAGCGGCCCAGACUACUACGGGAGGCAGGAGUGGGGGAUCUUAGACAAUGGCGGCAAUGCUGAUGGAGCCAUGCCGCGUGAGUGAUGAAGGUCGUAGGGAAGUAAAGCUCGUUCAGCUGGGAAGAUAAUGACGGUACCAGCAGAAGAAGCCCCGGCUAACUCCGUG
This 433-nucleotide ribosomal RNA is filed under the name uncultured bacterium. RNAcentral describes it as "partial 16S ribosomal RNA". It matches the Rfam family "Bacterial small subunit ribosomal RNA", at positions 29 to 507 of the family's 1533-position model. The record is from RNAcentral.